Molecule: small nuclear RNA, 196 nt
Organism: Phragmites australis (common reed)
Lineage: Eukaryota; Viridiplantae; Streptophyta; Magnoliopsida; Poales; Poaceae
Product: U2 spliceosomal RNA
Exons: 1
Source: RefSeq, a predicted model, not a curated record
AUACCUUUCUCGGCCUUUUGGCUAAGAUCAAGUGUAGUAUCUGUUCUUAUCAGUUUAAUAUCUGAUAUAUAGGUUAUGUGCCUAUUUUGAUAUUAAAUUUAUUUUUUGUGGGGAGGGUCCACUAAAGUGGCUUGCCACUUGGGCCCUCACGCGUCGCUCAGGCGUUGCACUGCUGCUCGGGCCUGGCGCACCCCAA